GUGCUUGCUUUGGCAGCACAUUGACUAAAACUGUAAUCAUAGAGAUUAGCAAGGUCCAUGUGCAAGGAUAACACAAAUUUGUCAAGUGUUCCACAUUUUA
Heterocephalus glaber (naked mole-rat) is the source of this 100-nucleotide small nuclear RNA. The record is from Ensembl. NCBI's taxonomy places the organism in Eukaryota, Metazoa, Chordata, Mammalia, Rodentia, Bathyergidae.